Long non-coding RNA from Alosa alosa (allis shad), 493 nucleotides. RefSeq lists it as uncharacterized. Lineage: Eukaryota; Metazoa; Chordata; Actinopteri; Clupeiformes; Clupeidae. The record is from RefSeq and is a predicted model, not a curated record. The transcript is spliced from 4 exons.
AUCAGCCCUCCAUCUGCAGCCUCAGGAAGCCCUCCAGUUCAGGCCUCAACAAGUAGGCUCCACACAGAGACAAUGGAAAGACCAAAAAAAGAAAUUCUGCAAUAAUGGAGCCAAAAGCCAGACCUUGCCAGCCAUACCACCAUUUCCAUUUCCACCAUCAACACCAGAGACAGUCCCAGAUCUAAGACAAGAUGAAAGAGAACUCCGAAAAUUCUACAAACAAAAUUCUCUUCUGCUUCAGGCAAUUUUGAGAAGAGAGAGUGUCACUGAAGUCAGCAGUUUUCCUGAUUUUGAGUUUCCGUUACAAAAUAUUAAUGAUAUAAAAAAAAUGUUGGACCGGCUUUCUGACAAGGAAACACGGCGCUCUCUGAGGGAAAACAUCUCAUGAGUUUGGGUAGGACAACAAUAAAAGAUAUAAUCUACAGGAUCAGGCGUGAAACAAUCAGCAAUGAUUUAGAGAAAAAGUUUAACUGGAUGGGCAGGGGCAGAAAAG